Molecule: unclassified non-coding RNA, 345 nt
Filed under: soil metagenome
Description: partial contains 5.8S ribosomal RNA, internal transcribed spacer 2, and large subunit ribosomal RNA
Rfam family: 5.8S ribosomal RNA (bases 1-120)
Source: RNAcentral
GAUGAAGAACGUAGCGAAAUGCGAUAAAUAAUGUGAAUUGCAGAAUUCAGUGAAUCAUCGAGUCUUUGAACGCACAUUGCGCCCCCUGGUAUUCCGGGGGGCAUGCCUGUCCGAGCGUCAUUGCUGCCCUCAAGCACGGCUUGUGUGUUGGGCCUCCGUCCUCCUCCCGGGGGACGGGCCCGAAAGGCAGCGGCGGCACCGCGUCCGGUCCUCGAGCGUAUGGGGCUUCGUCACCCGCUCUUGUAGGCCCGGCCGGCGCUUGCCGACACAUCAAUCUUUUUUCCAGGUUGACCUCGGAUCAGGUAGGGAUACCCGCUGAACUUAAGCAUAUCAAUAAGCGGAGGA